GACAGAGGGUGCAAGCGUUAAUCGGAAUGACUGGGCGUAAAGGGUACGUAGGCGGUUAUGUAAGCUCGAUGUGAAAGCCCUGGGCUUAACCUAGGAUUGGCAUAGAGGACUGCAUAGCUAGAGAUAGGUAGAGGAUAGUGGAAUUCCCGGAGUAGCGGUGAAAUGCGUAGAUAUCGGGAGGAACAUCAGUGGCGAAGGCGGCUAUCUGGACCUAAACUGACGCUGAGGUACGAAAGCGUGGGGAGCGAACGGG
This 253-nucleotide unclassified non-coding RNA is filed under the name uncultured Gammaproteobacteria bacterium. RNAcentral's name for it is "contains 16S-23S intergenic spacer region". It matches the Rfam family "Bacterial small subunit ribosomal RNA", at positions 524 to 776 of the family's 1533-position model. The record is from RNAcentral. Lineage: Bacteria; Pseudomonadati; Pseudomonadota; Gammaproteobacteria.